GAGAGAUGGCUGAGCUGGUCGAAGGCGCACGAUUGGAAAUCGUGUAGGCGUUAAAAGCGUCUCGAGGGUUCGAAUCCCUCUCUCUCC
This 87-nucleotide transfer RNA is filed under the name uncultured Intestinimonas sp. It matches the Rfam family "tRNA". From Rfam's summary of the family: Transfer RNA (tRNA) molecules are approximately 80 nucleotides in length. Their secondary structure includes four short double-helical elements and three loops (D, anti-codon, and T loops). Lineage: Bacteria; Bacillati; Bacillota; Clostridia; Eubacteriales. The record is from RNAcentral.